Molecule: long non-coding RNA, 444 nt
Filed under: Monodelphis domestica (gray short-tailed opossum)
Lineage: Eukaryota; Metazoa; Chordata; Mammalia; Didelphimorphia; Didelphidae
Description: lncRNA (ENSMODG00000037952.1)
Source: RNAcentral
AAGUUUGGGCUGGAAACGGAGCAGGUCAAAACUCCUUUGCUGAUCUGAGUGGGAGCAGGUCGAGGAGGAGCCUCUACACUUUCAUUCUUGGUCAAGAAAGGGAGAUCCAAAAAGAAGGCGUGUGAGAUAAAAAUGGUGACUCACUCAAACCAACAAAUCUGGAGUCAGAAGUCAGGCAAACUCUCCUGUGGGGACACUCACAUGCCUUGAAAUGGUCUGGAGGAGGCGAGCAGGUGGGAGGGAAGAAGACAAAAGCAAAGUGUCUGUCUGAUCAAUCCCUGAAACACAGAAUGGCGGCUGCAUCGUUUUGCAGGUGCAGAGGAAAUGGGCUUGAAAUGAUGACCAAUGAUCAGGAACAUGACUGAAAUGAAGCCAGCAGCCUCACAACUCUCAGGACGACAGAAUCAUCCACACACCAAUAAAGUGUUCACGUUAUGAUAUUCA